GCUGGUCCUCAAGGCGGAGCCGCCGUGCAGGGGUGCACGUGGCUGUCACGCCGCUUCGUUCUUUCCGUCGAGUUCUCCGGUGAGCAGCGACUCUGGCCCACUCUCGACGUCCCUUCGACGGCGUCAAUGCCAUCGCUCUUUCACGCUGCUGCUCCGGCAGCGCCUCCUCCGUAGUCGACUUUCCGGAGCUCCGUCGUUGCCGAACAGCCCUUCGGCCUAAGCUAAGUUCUAAUUCUUUUAUUCCAAUCUAUUUCUCCUUAUUUACUCGUUCGAUUCCGAGCUUAUUUGGUGAUGUUUUGAUGGCUGGAAAGGGAAAAUCUUAUUUGUGUUCGUUGCUGGGGCAUUUGCAUUUGAUAAACAUAUGUUCUUGUCCUAGAUUUCUUUCAUCUUUUGGCAUAUUAAUAGCGAAAAGGCUUAGGCAGCAGCUUGUGAGAUUUUAAGUUCUUGAAAUUGUUUGUCCCGGUGGAGUCCCGCAUAAUAGCUACUGAUUUUGGCCUUAUGAGGCAGACUAUGGUUUUCCUUACACUACUUGUUAUGAUUCUGGAUUUAGUGUAGUUAACACUUGUGCUACUAAGUUCUUGAACUAUGUUGUGAUUGUUCUAAACAUGAUGCAAGAUAAGGUGUUGGGGUGUUGAGGUGUUUACCUUAGUUUGGUGAUUUCCUUUUUGCUUGUUGGCUGCCCUCCUUGCUGUUGUUGGAAGGAGAUUCCUAAACCUUAAGCUCACAAUAGCCUUUCUUGCUCCUUCUCACUCUCAACUUACCACUCUAAUGCUAGAGAAAUUCGAAAUAUGAGGAAAGAGUAGUGUUGUGGUAUGUGGUGUGGCUUAUAUAGGCAGAGAUGUGUACUCGUGUAGCCUUAAUUGGGGCUGUUGUAAUUCUUGUUGUUAUGCUGCAGAAAAUCCCACUUUAAUGAUCCCAUUGCCCCUCCUUCUUGGCUGCAAUUUGGCAUCAUAUGGGUACCUAGUACUUAGCUAGCAAUUUGAAUCGUUUGAUUGUGCAGUGAGCAGGUGGCUGUUGUGCCAAGGGUGUUGCAGGGCUGACUUUCCUCUUAUGGUGAUUCUUUGGGUCAUCUAUAACUAAAGAAGGUUGUCUCCAUCCCUAAGGUCGAGACAAGCUUGGUUGCCAAGCUGCUGGCUGUCUGGAACAGUUGAUACCUCGGCCCACGGCUGACCGGAAAACGGGCCGCGACUAUCGGCCCGGGAGGAGAGACCGAUUCUAUUCGAUUAAUGCACAUUUUAUCCUUUCCUUUUCUUGUCUCCUUUAUUUGAGGACUUGCUCCAUGUAACAUAUAUAUAUAUAUAUAUAUAUAUUUUUGUUGUUCA
Salvia hispanica is the source of this 1322-nucleotide long non-coding RNA. RefSeq lists it as uncharacterized. NCBI's taxonomy places the organism in Eukaryota, Viridiplantae, Streptophyta, Magnoliopsida, Lamiales, Lamiaceae. The record is from RefSeq and is a predicted model, not a curated record.